This 265-nucleotide small RNA is filed under the name Theobroma cacao (cacao). RNAcentral's name for it is "sRNA Tc02v2_g019710". The record is from RNAcentral. Lineage: Eukaryota; Viridiplantae; Streptophyta; Magnoliopsida; Malvales; Malvaceae.
CAAUAGAAAAAGUACGGAAAAUCAAGGAAAACAAGUGAAAAAGGUGCUGAGUCCUCCGAUAAAAGCAAAGGAAUUGCACUCGAGGACCAGUAAUCUGAGUACUUCGAAAAUCCCCAUUCUAGACAUUGUUCAGAUUAGACUGUAGAUAGCUGAGUUCAUCGAGGACUACCCUUGGAUUUGCAUUCCUUCAAACUAUAGGUUCACAGUCCUCUUUACUUUUGUUUAUUCGGGGAUGGCCACUUGUUAUUGUAAAUUAAAUUAAAUA